UGAGGAAUAUUGGUCAAUGGACGGAAGUCUGAACCAGCCAUGCCGCGUGAAGGAUGAAGGCGUUCUGCGUUGUAAACUUCUUUUAUCUGGGAAGAAACCUCCGAUUUCUAUUGGAGCCGACGGUACCAGAGGAAUAAGCACCGGCUAACUCCGUGCCAGCAGCCGCGGUAAUACGGAGGGUGCAAGCGUUAUCCGGAUUUACUGGGUUUAAAGGGUGUGUAGGCGGACUAUUAAGUCCGUGGUGAAAUCUCCGGGCUCAACCCGGAAACUGCCAUGGAUACUAAGGGUCUUGAAUAUUGUGGAGGUGGGCGGAAUGUGUCAUGUAGCGGUGAAAUGCUUAGAGAUGACACAGAACACCGAUUGCGAAGGCAGCCCACUACGCAACUAUUGACGCUGAGGCACGAAAGCGUGGGGAUCAAACAGGAUUAGAUACCCCGGUAGUCC
This 444-nucleotide ribosomal RNA is filed under the name uncultured bacterium. RNAcentral's name for it is "bacterial SSU rRNA". It matches the Rfam family "Bacterial small subunit ribosomal RNA", at positions 355 to 796 of the family's 1533-position model. The record is from RNAcentral.